UGAAGAAAGUGACAGAGUGGCUUUGUAGCUGGCUUGAAACCAGUUUACGGGGGUUCGAUUCCUCCCUUUCUCG
Molecule: transfer RNA, 73 nt
Filed under: Takifugu oblongus (lattice blaasop)
Lineage: Eukaryota; Metazoa; Chordata; Actinopteri; Tetraodontiformes; Tetraodontidae
Description: tRNA-Ser(UCN)
Rfam family: tRNA
About the family: Transfer RNA (tRNA) molecules are approximately 80 nucleotides in length. Their secondary structure includes four short double-helical elements and three loops (D, anti-codon, and T loops). Further hydrogen bonds mediate the characteristic L-shaped molecular structure. tRNAs have two regions of fundamental functional importance: the anti-codon, which is responsible for specific mRNA codon recognition, and the 3' end, to which the tRNAs corresponding amino acid is attached (by aminoacyl-tRNA synthetases). tRNAs cope with the degeneracy of the genetic code in two manners: having more than one tRNA (with a specific anti-codon) for a particular amino acid; and 'wobble' base-pairing, i.e. permitting non-standard base-pairing at the 3rd anti-codon position.
Source: RNAcentral